Long non-coding RNA from Cylas formicarius (sweet potato weevil), 1396 nucleotides. RefSeq lists it as uncharacterized. The record is from RefSeq and is a predicted model, not a curated record. Lineage: Eukaryota; Metazoa; Arthropoda; Insecta; Coleoptera; Brentidae. The transcript is spliced from 2 exons.
AUAAACACAAAUUAGGCGUAGGAUCUCGAGAGCCAAUAGGACGACCAUAACAAGCAACAUAACAUAUAACGCGUUAGAUGGAAACGGAAACUGGACCUGAAAAAUGACUGUUUAUUCGAUUUCGUAUUAUUUGUGGUGGUGGAGAGGCCAUAUUGUUUGUUAUGUUCCUAAGGGACAGUCGGAAGGUUUGGGUCAAUAGCAAAAUUACUUUUCAACAAUAUUUUAUGUGCGACUGCCUUCACUGGAGGAUUAUACAAUAUCAAAACCGAUUUCCGUUGGAACCGUUGUGUCGAUGCGAGUGGUCGAUAUCUGUGGCGAUAAAAUCGAUUGUGUGACGAUAAACAAUCCAACCAACCAACCAACACAUAACAUAAUUUUGAGCGGGAAAUUCGAGCACAUUUUUUAGAUUUUCUAUCAGUGGGAGUCAGUCAAAUUAGCAAGUUAGAUUUGCAGUCAGUUGUGUUCUGAAAAAUGGAAUGAAAAUUAGGCGAGUGGUCGACGAAUUGGGUGUCAGUUUUUCAGGUCUUUUCGAAGAGGAGCAGGACAAUUACGAUAAAUGGGCUUCCUCGACGGAAGUCGGCAAUGGCCGAAUGAUCAUAGCAAUCGUGCCCAACUGUAUUAGUGGAACGCAUUAUCGAAUUGAUUGAAUUACAAGUUUUCACUCCAAAACCAAGGAAACUCGUUUUCGAAUACUUACAAACAUGCAGUAAGCGAUUGAGGAUUGCUUACCCGCCGGAAUGGAACGAACACCAAUCUGCAGAACGAGAUUGGUUGUUAGGAUUCACAGACCGCAAUAAAAACCUGUCGCACAAAGUUAGCAAGUGUUUCCAAAAUCAGAAGUUUAUAUUUUCAAUCUCCACUCAAUCUGCAGCACUGUUCAUAAACCUUCAAGAGUUAUUGCUACGAAAGGACAGAAACAAGUGCUACAGGAAAUACUUUGCCUCCUGCCAUGGUUUUUUUAGGCAAAAGCGAGAUCUCAAAACAGCAAAAGCAUCAAUUGACUAACACCUUAACUAACGAAAUGGAGAAAACGAUCCGAGCUACAUUGACUGCUCAAGCGCCUCGGUCUAAUCCAAUUACGUUACUGACAAAUACUUUGACUCCUCUGUCAAUGGAUUGAUAACUGAUAUUCAAUAUGUAGAACUAAUCGAAGUCAGGCACAGCAGUGAAACAUGUUCUGUCAAUUUUAUGAGAAUAAGAGGCAAUACCCUCGCUUUUUUUUCCCGGAAAAUGUCUGGGCAACAUAAAGCCUUCGAAGUUGAUUAAGGUGGUAUUAAAAAUUUACAUUAAUUUAUGCAGUUAUUACCAUAACUUUUAUGUUCGUUAUAUUAGUUGGUUGUUUGUCUCUACUUACGUUAUUACCUAAAAGUAAAUAAUAAAUAAACAUCCCACACUA